GGCGCUGUGGCAUAGUAAGUAAUGCUGUCGCCUGCAGUGCCAGCAUUCCAUGUGGGCACCGGUUUGAGUCCUGUCAGCUCCU
Molecule: transfer RNA, 82 nt
Filed under: Oryctolagus cuniculus (rabbit)
Lineage: Eukaryota; Metazoa; Chordata; Mammalia; Lagomorpha; Leporidae
Rfam family: tRNA
About the family: Transfer RNA (tRNA) molecules are approximately 80 nucleotides in length. Their secondary structure includes four short double-helical elements and three loops (D, anti-codon, and T loops).
Source: Rfam by way of RNAcentral